UAGGAUUUGGUGUAAAUGGUAGCACGAAGAUUUUUGGAUUCUUAAGAUUAGGUUCGACUCCUAUAGUUCUAG
RNAcentral lists this transfer RNA (72 nucleotides) under Furipterus horrens. RNAcentral's name for it is "tRNA-Gln". It matches the Rfam family "tRNA". Rfam says of the family: Transfer RNA (tRNA) molecules are approximately 80 nucleotides in length. Their secondary structure includes four short double-helical elements and three loops (D, anti-codon, and T loops). Lineage: Eukaryota; Metazoa; Chordata; Mammalia; Chiroptera; Furipteridae. The record is from RNAcentral.